RNAcentral lists this ribosomal RNA (490 nucleotides) under uncultured bacterium. Its description in RNAcentral is "partial 16S ribosomal RNA". It matches the Rfam family "Bacterial small subunit ribosomal RNA", at positions 30 to 507 of the family's 1533-position model. The record is from RNAcentral.
AUUGAACGCUGGCGGCAGGCCUAACACAUGCAAGUCGAACGGUAACAGGAAACAGCUUGCUGUUUCGCUGACGAGUGGCGGACGGGUGAGUAAUGUCUGGGAAACUGCCUGAUGGAGGGGGAUAACUACUGGAAACGGUAGCUAAUACCGCAUAACGUCGCAAGACCAAAGAGGGGGACCUUCGGGCCUCUUGCCAUCGGAUGUGCCCAGAUGGGAUUAGCUAGUAGGUGGGGUAACGGCUCACCUAGGCGACGAUCCCUAGCUGGUCUGAGAGGAUGACCAGUCACACUGGAACUGAGACACGGUCCAGACUCCUACGGGAGGCAGCAGUGGGGAAUAUUGCACAAUGGGCGCAAGCCUGAUGCAGCCAUGCCGCGUGUAUGAAGAAGGCCUUCGGGUUGUAAAGUACUUUCAGCGGGGAGGAAGGGAGUAAAGUUAAUACCUUUGCUCAUUGACGUUACCCGCAGAAGAAGCACCGGCUAACUCCGUG